AAGAGUUUGAUCCUGGCUCAGGACGAACGCUGGCGGCGUGCUUAACACAUGCAAGUCGAACGAUGAAGCCCUUCGGGGUGGAUUAGUGGCGAACGGGUGAGUAACACGUGGGCAAUCUGCCCUUCACUCUGGGACAAGCCCUGGAAACGGGGUCUAAUACCGGAUAACACUCUGUCCCGCAUGGGACGGGGUUAAAAGCUCCGGCGGUGAAGGAUGAGCCCGCGGCCUAUCAGCUUGUUGGUGGGGUGAUGGCCUACCAAGGCGACGACGGGUAGCCGGCCUGAGAGGGCGACCGGCCACACUGGGACUGAGACACGGCCCAGACUCCUACGGGAGGCAGCAGUGGGGAAUAUUGCACAAUGGGCGAAAGCCUGAUGCAGCGACGCCGCGUGAGGGAUGACGGCCUUCGGGUUGUAAACCUCUUUCAGCAGGGAAGAAGCGAGAGUGACGGUACCGCA
This 458-nucleotide ribosomal RNA is filed under the name Streptomyces sp. AR3(6). RNAcentral's name for it is "bacterial SSU rRNA". It matches the Rfam family "Bacterial small subunit ribosomal RNA", at positions 1 to 483 of the family's 1533-position model. Lineage: Bacteria; Bacillati; Actinomycetota; Actinomycetes; Kitasatosporales; Streptomycetaceae. The record is from RNAcentral.